CCCUUAGAUGUUCUGGGCCGCACGCGCGCUACACUGACGGAGGCAGCGAGCAUGUCCUUCGCCGAGAGGUGUGGGGAAUCUUGUGAGUCUCCGUCGUGCUGGGGAUAGAUGGUUGCAAUUGUCGAUCUUGAACGAGGAAUUCCUAGUAAGCGCGAGUCAUCAGCUCGCGCUGAUUACGUCCCUGCCCUUUGUACACACCGCCCGUCGCUCCUACCGAUUGAGUGCUCAGGUGAAUAAUUCGGACUGCAGCAAUGUUUGGAUCCCGAACGUUGCAGCGGAAAGUUUAGUGAACCUUAUCACUUAGAGGAAGGAGAAGUCGUAACA
RNAcentral lists this ribosomal RNA (324 nucleotides) under uncultured eukaryote. Its description in RNAcentral is "partial 18S ribosomal RNA". It matches the Rfam family "Eukaryotic small subunit ribosomal RNA", at positions 1470 to 1796 of the family's 1831-position model. The record is from RNAcentral.